This 492-nucleotide ribosomal RNA is filed under the name uncultured bacterium. Its description in RNAcentral is "partial 16S ribosomal RNA". It matches the Rfam family "Bacterial small subunit ribosomal RNA", at positions 29 to 507 of the family's 1533-position model. The record is from RNAcentral.
AGUGAACGCUGGCGGUAGGCCUAACACAUGCAAGUCGAACGGCAGCACAGUAAGAGCUUGCUCUUACGGGUGGCGAGUGGCGGACGGGUGAGGAAUACAUCGGAAUCUACUUUUUCGUGGGGGAUAACGUAGGGAAACUUACGCUAAUACCGCAUACGACCUACGGGUGAAAGCAGGGGAUCUUCGGACCUUGCGCGAUUGAAUGAGCCGAUGUCGGAUUAGCUAGUUGGCGGGGUAAAGGCCCACCAAGGCGACGAUCCGUAGCUGGUCUGAGAGGAUGAUCAGCCACACUGGAACUGAGACACGGUCCAGACUCCUACGGGAGGCAGCAGUGGGGAAUAUUGGACAAUGGGCGCAAGCCUGAUCCAGCCAUACCGCGUGGGUGAAGAAGACCUUCGGGUUGUAAAGCCCUUUUGUUGGGAAAGAAAAGCAGCAGGUUGAUACCCCGCUGUUCUGACGGUACCCAAAGAAUAAGCACCGGCUAACUUCGUG